RNAcentral lists this non-coding RNA (83 nucleotides) under Paramoeba aestuarina. Lineage: Eukaryota; Discosea; Flabellinia; Dactylopodida; Paramoebidae. The record is from RNAcentral.
UCUUUAUGCUUCACAACGACCUAUUCCUUUUCUCAAGAAACAGGUGACCCAGUAUGGGUUUUACGACAAACCAGCAAGUCAAA